UACGAAGGGGGCUAGCGUUGCUCGGAUUCAUUGGGCGUAAAGGGUGCGUAGGCGGCGCGGUAAGUCGGGUGUGAAAUCUCGGGGCUUAACUCCGAAACUGCAUUCGAUACUGCCGUGCUUGAGGACUGGAGAGGAGACUGGAAUUUACGGUGUAGCGGUGAAAUGCGUAGAUAUCGUAAGGAAGACCAGUGGCGAAGGCGGGUCUCUGGACAGUUCCUGACGCUGAGGCACGAAGGUCAGGGGAGCAAACGGG
Molecule: ribosomal RNA, 253 nt
Filed under: uncultured bacterium
Lineage: Bacteria
Description: partial 16S ribosomal RNA
Rfam family: Bacterial small subunit ribosomal RNA
Source: RNAcentral